Molecule: small RNA, 690 nt
Filed under: Pan troglodytes (chimpanzee)
Lineage: Eukaryota; Metazoa; Chordata; Mammalia; Primates; Hominidae
Description: processed transcript
Source: RNAcentral
AGGGUGGAGCGACCCUCCCCUCCUCCCUCCUGGCCCCUCGACUACACACGGGGUCUCUCCUUCCUUCCUCCUCGGGAGGAGCCCGACUGGGAGACGCCGCGGGGACUACCCAUUUCCAGCCCGCUCACCUUUCCCAUGCAGCAGCCCCUGCUUCACUCACUGAUCACUCCUUCGCGAGACCAUUAGUGACUGAGCACCUAGCGCGUGGUGUGUCAGGAGCUGGAGAUUGAGCCUUGAACGGAGCAGGCCUUGUCCACAGGAAGCUUACAGUCUGGAGAAGACAGAUGAAAGACACGAAGAAGCCAAUUGACUUGCCGAGGCUCCAGGGCAGCGCUGUCCAAUAGAAACAUGAUGAGAGCCACGUGUGUCGUUUCUUAUUUGACUCAGAGGAACUGACUGCUUCCGUUUUCCCAGAAUUCUGUCAAAUAUUUAUCAAGUGUCCACAUGUACCCAAGCGACGCACAUUCCUUACAUAGAGGAAGGUAAGGAAAGAAUCAUAUCUAUUUUUUUCACCUUCUUGAGAAAAAGAUACUGCUGCUUAUUAGCCUCAACGAGUCUUGUAAUGUGAAAAACACAACAUUUUCCUGUACCUUUUAUGGAUAUCUUCAUUAGCUGUGGAUGGCAAUACAAAUCCUUCUUCAUCUAAUUUAAUUUCAACAUCUGGUGAGAGAAGAAAGGAAAAAUUCCUCG